RNAcentral lists this ribosomal RNA (510 nucleotides) under uncultured bacterium. RNAcentral describes it as "partial 16S ribosomal RNA". It matches the Rfam family "Bacterial small subunit ribosomal RNA", at positions 28 to 507 of the family's 1533-position model. The record is from RNAcentral.
GACGAACGCUGGCGGCGUGCUUAACACAUGCAAGUCGAACGAAGAGCGACGGAAGCUUGCUUCUAUCAAUCUUAGUGGCGAACGGGUGAGUAACGCGUAAUCAACCUGCCCUUCAGAGGGGGACAACAGUUGGAAACGACUGCUAAUACCGCAUACGAUCUAACCUCGGCAUCGAGGAUAGAUGAAAGGUGGCCUCUACAUGUAAGCUAUCACUGAAGGAGGGGAUUGCGUCUGAUUAGCUAGUUGGAGGGGUAACGGCCCACCAAGGCGAUGAUCAGUAGCCGGUCUGAGAGGGUGAACGGCCACAUUGGGACUGAGACACGGCCCAGACUCCUACGGGAGGCAGCAGUGGGGAAUCUUCCGCAAUGGACGAAAGUCUGACGGAGCAACGCCGCGUGAGUGAUGACGGCCUUCGGGUUGUAAAGCUCUGUUAAUCGGGACGAAAGGCCUUCUUGCGAAUAGUGAGAAGGAUUGACGGUACCGGAAUAGAAAGCCACGGCUAACUACGUG